GUGGGGAAUAUUGGACAAUGGGCGAAAGCCUGAUCCAGCCAUGCCGCGUGUGUGAAGAAGGUCUUCGGAUUGUAAAGCACUUUAAGUUGGGAGGAAGAGCAGUAAGUUAAUACCUUGCUGUUUUGACGUUACCGACAGAAUAAGCACCGGCUAACUUCGUGCCAGCAGCCGCGGUAAUACGAAGGGUGCAAGCGUUAAUCGGAAUUACUGGGCGUAAAGCGCGCGUAGGUGGUUUUGUAAGUUGGAGGUGAAAUCCCCGGGCUCAACCUGGGAACUGCCUCCAAAACUGCAUGACUAGAGUACGGUAGAGGGUAGUGGAAUUUCCUGUGUAGCGGUGAAAUGCGUAGAUAUAGGAAGGAACACCAGUGGCGAAGGCGACUACCUGGACUGAUACUGACACUGAGGUGCGAAAGCGUGGGGAGCAAACAGGAUUAGAAACCCUGGUAGUCC
RNAcentral lists this ribosomal RNA (450 nucleotides) under uncultured bacterium. RNAcentral describes it as "bacterial SSU rRNA". It matches the Rfam family "Bacterial small subunit ribosomal RNA", at positions 354 to 796 of the family's 1533-position model. The record is from RNAcentral.